Molecule: ribosomal RNA, 672 nt
Filed under: uncultured beta proteobacterium
Lineage: Bacteria; Pseudomonadati; Pseudomonadota; Betaproteobacteria
Description: bacterial SSU rRNA
Rfam family: Bacterial small subunit ribosomal RNA
Source: RNAcentral
UACACAUGCAAGUCGAACGGUAACAGGUCUUUCGGGAUGCUGACGAGUGGCGAACGGGUGAGUAAUACAUCGGAACGUGCCCAGUAAUGGGGGAUAGCUCGGCGAAAGCCGGAUUAAUACCGCAUACGCCCUGAGGGGGAAAGUGGGGGACCGCAAGGCCUCACGUUAUUGGAGCGGCCGAUGGCUGAUUAGCUAGUUGGUAGGGUAAAGGCCUACCAAGGCGACGAUCAGUAGCUGGUCUGAGAGGACGAUCAGCCACACUGGGACUGAGACACGGCCCAGACUCCUACGGGAGGCAGCAGUGGGGAAUUUUGGACAAUGGGGGAAACCCUGAUCCAGCAAUGCCGCGUGUGCGAAGAAGGCCUUCGGGUUGUAAAGCACUUUUGUCAGGGAAGAAAUCCUUUGGGCUAAUACCCUAGGGGGAUGACGGUACCUGAAGAAUAAGCACCGGCUAACCACGUGCCAGCAGCCGCGGUAAUACGUAGGGUGCAAGCGUUAAUCGGAAUUACUGGGCGUAAAGCGUGCGCAGGCGGUUGUGUAAGACAGGUGUGAAAUCCCCGGGCUUAACCUGGGAAUUGCAUUUGUGACUGCACGACUAGAGUGUGUCAGAGGGGGGUGGAAUUCCACGUGUAGCAGUGAAAUGCGUAGAUAUGUGGAGGACACCAAUGGCGA